UUUGGUUUGUUACGGGUGGUUGGCUGUCUGCUCGCGCAGCAACGUCCACGCGUGCUUACCUCUUCAUUUUAGCGACAAGGCUUGUUUUGCCUUGAGCAGCUUGUGGGUUUCCUGUGUUGCAUACCUAAUCGACGGUAACGUGUGGGUUUAUAGACGUCCCUUUUCGUCAUGCGUCGCUCAUGCGGCGUGGGAUGAACCUUGAAGCAGGCUUUGUGGUCCGCCUUGUUGGUGCUUUUGCAUCGACGAUGUGGCCCUUGAGGCAUCGCUUGGUCUCUUGUAUACGGAACCUGAUGUGGGCAUGGGUCUUUCGGGAUCCUGUAUUUGCCCUAUUUAAGCGUUCUCGCUUCUCCAAAACGAUCGUCCGUCACGUCUCGGCUUGUCCUUGCGUGGCGGGCUGCGUCGAAGA
Molecule: unclassified non-coding RNA, 406 nt
Filed under: Cirsium monocephalum
Lineage: Eukaryota; Viridiplantae; Streptophyta; Magnoliopsida; Asterales; Asteraceae
Description: partial contains external transcribed spacer and 18S ribosomal RNA
Source: RNAcentral